AACACAAGUCUCCCAUCCGAGGCAGGCAACCUCCAGGGUGGCAGAAGAGAAGUGUGCAUCCUGCAGACAGGCAGCACAAGAGAGAAGAUGCUGAGACAGUACUGUGGCAUGCCUGCUCAGAUAUAGUCUUAAACUGGUCAAUCAGGUCAAAAGGUAUUUCCACUGAGUAUUCGUUUGCAGGUCUAUGGAGCACAAUUCUGUCAUCACUCCAAACCUAGGAGCACCCCAGGAUUUAACCUGUCAUACCUGAGGAAUUUCUUGAGAUACUGGCGGCUGCAGGAAGACCAUGAAAACACUCCAUUGUUUCCGGGAUGCAGAGGACGGAAGGAUAUAAAUAUGAAUUUCAUCAUUAAUUUAAAUUGUUCUUAAUCUCAUUAUUUAA
RNAcentral lists this long non-coding RNA (382 nucleotides) under Homo sapiens (human). Its description in RNAcentral is "HSALNT0233770". Lineage: Eukaryota; Metazoa; Chordata; Mammalia; Primates; Hominidae. The record is from RNAcentral.